CUAAGUGCGAAGCCAGCCGCAAGAUUAGAACUCCCUUGAGGGUCGUCCGAGACGAGGACGUUGAUAGGGUGCAGGUGUAAAGACGGCGACGUCAAAGCCGAGCACUACUAAUUGCCCGAGACUUUCUUC
RNAcentral lists this ribosomal RNA (129 nucleotides) under Prevotella sp. HMSC069G02. Its description in RNAcentral is "partial 23S ribosomal RNA". It matches the Rfam family "Bacterial large subunit ribosomal RNA", at positions 2781 to 2925 of the family's 2925-position model. Lineage: Bacteria; Pseudomonadati; Bacteroidota; Bacteroidia; Bacteroidales; Prevotellaceae. The record is from RNAcentral.